GGGGCUAUAGCACAGCUGGCUAGCGCGCUACGUUCGCAUCGUAGAGGUCAGGGGUUCGAAUCCCCUUAGCUCCACCA
This 77-nucleotide transfer RNA is filed under the name Gehongia tenuis. RNAcentral describes it as "tRNA-Ala". It matches the Rfam family "tRNA". Rfam says of the family: Transfer RNA (tRNA) molecules are approximately 80 nucleotides in length. Their secondary structure includes four short double-helical elements and three loops (D, anti-codon, and T loops). Lineage: Bacteria; Bacillati; Bacillota; Clostridia; Christensenellales; Christensenellaceae. The record is from RNAcentral.